This 429-nucleotide ribosomal RNA is filed under the name Bacteroidota bacterium. RNAcentral's name for it is "Bacteroidetes bacterium partial 16S ribosomal RNA". It matches the Rfam family "Bacterial small subunit ribosomal RNA", at positions 355 to 776 of the family's 1533-position model. Lineage: Bacteria; Pseudomonadati; Bacteroidota. The record is from RNAcentral.
UAGGGAAUCUUCCGCAAUGGACGCAAGUCUGACGGAGCAACGCCGCGUGAGUGAAGAAGGAUUUCGGUUCGUAAAACUCUGUUGUUAGAGAAGAACAGCGCAUAGAGUAACUGUUAUGCGUGUGACGGUAUCUAACCAGAAAGCAACGGCUAACUACGUGCCAGCAGCCGCGGUAAUACGUAGGUGGCAAGCGUUGUCCGGAUUUAUUGGGCGUAAAGCGAGCGCAGGCGGUCAAUUAAGUCUGAUGUGAAAGCCCCCGGCUCAACCGGAGAGGGUCAUUGGAAACUGGUUGACUUGAGUGCAGAAGAGGAGAGUAGAAUUCCAUGUGUAGCGGUGAAAUGCGUAGAUAUAUGGGGGAACACCAGUGGCGAAGGCGACUCUCUGGUCUGUAACUGACGCUGAGGCUCGAAAGCGUGGGGAGCGAACAGG